RNAcentral lists this ribosomal RNA (523 nucleotides) under Aggregatibacter sp. oral taxon 512. RNAcentral describes it as "bacterial SSU rRNA". It matches the Rfam family "Bacterial small subunit ribosomal RNA", at positions 505 to 1029 of the family's 1533-position model. Lineage: Bacteria; Pseudomonadati; Pseudomonadota; Gammaproteobacteria; Pasteurellales; Pasteurellaceae. The record is from RNAcentral.
GUGCCAGCAGCCGCGGUAAUUCAGAGGGUGCGAGCGUUAAUCGGAAUAACUGGGCGUAAAGGGCACGCAGGCGGACUUUUAAGUGAGGUGUGAAAUCCCCGGGCUUAACCUGGGAAUUGCAUUUCAGACUGGGAGUCUAGAGUACUUUAGGGAGGGGUAGAAUUCCACGUGUAGCGGUGAAAUGCGUAGAGAUGUGGAGGAAUACCGAAGGCGAAGGCAGCCCCUUGGGAAUGUACUGACGCUCAUGUGCGAAAGCGUGGGGAGCAAACAGGAUUAGAUACCCUGGUAGUCCACGCUGUAAACGCUGUCGAUUUGGGGAUUGGGCCUUGAGCUUGGUGCCCGAAGCUAACGUGAUAAAUCGACCGCCUGGGGAGUACGGCCGCAAGGUUAAAACUCAAAUGAAUCGACGGGGGCCCGCACAAGCGGUGGAGCAUGUGGUUUAAUUCGAUGCAACGCGAAGAACCUUACCUACUCUUGACAUCCAUGGAAUCCUGUAGAGAUACGGGAGUGCCUUCGGGAACCA